This is a small nucleolar RNA of Castor canadensis (American beaver), 133 nucleotides long. The record is from Ensembl. Lineage: Eukaryota; Metazoa; Chordata; Mammalia; Rodentia; Castoridae.
GUGUAAACUUGGUCACUAGCUCUGCAUGAUGUGGUAGAAGCUAAUGGAACCAGGUUUGCUAAAGUAAUUGUGGUGACAGUAAUGUAUUAGCUUCAGAAGCUACUGAGGUGGCCCAUUCUGUCCUAGUACAGUA